This is a non-coding RNA of Paramuricea clavata, 394 nucleotides long. Lineage: Eukaryota; Metazoa; Cnidaria; Anthozoa; Malacalcyonacea; Plexauridae. The record is from the annotation of a GenBank genome assembly.
GUGCUGAUUUACAUAAACUUUAAGUUCAAUUUUCUCACCAAAUAUCAUUAAUUUAUUUUAAAUUGUUAAAGAAUACGAAUGUUCUCAUCAAGACGUUUCACAAGCCAUUUGUAACGUUCACGUUGUAUUUCCGAUACAACACGGCAGCUCAUGUUGAAAAUAGUACAUAUAAAAGAUCUUUAUAUAAUGAGGUCAUCAGCAACAAGAUAAACGACACUAAAGCCGAUAUCCGCAAUCCGGAUAACGAGGCUCUGAAGCGAAGGCUAAGUACUUUUCUGCUUUCGCAAAGUCCUUUUCAAAGAUGUCAUUUUGAUUUCGCGCGGUUCAUCAUCUUAUAUUCAUUCUCCCAAUAAAGCUAGGGGGAAAUUUUGAGGCAGACUUGUGGCAAGUCUAG